Molecule: unclassified non-coding RNA, 607 nt
Filed under: Hevea brasiliensis (rubber tree)
Lineage: Eukaryota; Viridiplantae; Streptophyta; Magnoliopsida; Malpighiales; Euphorbiaceae
Source: RNAcentral
GGUUGGUAGCAAGGAUUCUUCUGUUCAUCUACUUCUUCACUCACAUGUUCAUCCACUUUGAUCAGGUGAAAAAGAUAUUUCCUUUGGGCUUCUAUAGCAUACUUUCAGUGGCUCCCAUAUUGGCAGUAAUGAAUACCAUUUGGUUUUGGAAGAUAGCAAAAGGUUUGAUUAAAACUCUUUCUAGAGCAAAAAGACACAGUCAAUGAUCUAACCAUUUUGUUCCACUGGUGGCCAUGCAUUUACUGUAUCAACCAUUUUGGUGUAAUGAUAAAAAUACUCCAUUUGUCACUUAGAAAUUACAAUUUGAAGCCACAAAAGCAGCCUCUCUGCAAAAUAAGGAUAAGGCUGCAUACAUCAACUUUCUUAAAAGCACACAAGUGUGAGAUGCUUCAUGCUCAGAGUAGCUAAUUACCAUGUUCAGUUCUGUAUAGACAAAUGUUGCUCCUGGUGCUUUGGAUUUGGUCGAUGCAACUGGUAAUGGUUAAAUUUUAAAAUUGAAUUAAAAUGAAUGAGCCAAUUGUCGUAAUGGUUAAAUCUAUAUAACAUAGGUUUGGAGAUUUGCUCAAUUCGUUCAAUGCAACUUGUAAAAAUCAACAAGUGAGUCAAG